This 253-nucleotide ribosomal RNA is filed under the name uncultured bacterium. RNAcentral describes it as "partial 16S ribosomal RNA". It matches the Rfam family "Bacterial small subunit ribosomal RNA", at positions 524 to 776 of the family's 1533-position model. The record is from RNAcentral.
UACGGAGGGUGCAAGCGUUAAUCGGAAUUACUGGGCGUAAAGCGCGCGUAGGCGGUUUUUUAAGUCGAAUGUGAAAGCCCCGGGCUCAACCUGGGAACUGCAUUUGAAACUGGUAAACUAGAGUAUUGGAGAGGUAAGCGGAAUUUCUGGUGUAGCGGUGAAAUGCGUAGAUAUCAGAAGGAACACCAAUGGCGAAGGCAGCUUACUGGACAAUAACUGACGCUGAGGCACGAAAGCGUGGGUAGCGAAAGGG